RNAcentral lists this ribosomal RNA (253 nucleotides) under uncultured bacterium. RNAcentral's name for it is "partial 16S ribosomal RNA". It matches the Rfam family "Bacterial small subunit ribosomal RNA", at positions 524 to 776 of the family's 1533-position model. The record is from RNAcentral.
UACGGAGGAUGCAAGCGUUAUCCGGAAUGAUUGGGCGUAAAGCGUCCGCAGGUGGCUGUGUAAGUCUGCUGUUAAAGAGUGAGGCUCAACCUCAUAAAAGCAGUGGAAACUACAAGGCUAGAGUACGUUCGGGGCAGAGGGAAUUCCUGGUGUAGCGGUGAAAUGCGUAGAGAUCAGGAAGAACACCGGUGGCGAAAGCGCUCUGCUAGGCCGUAACUGACACUGAGGGACGAAAGCUAGGGGAGCGAAUGGG